AUCAGUAAGCGGAGGAAAAGAAACUAACUAGGAUUCCCCCAGUAACGGCGAGUGAAGCGGGAACUAGCCCAGCGCCGAAUCCCCCGGUCCCCGGCGGCCGGCGGGAGCUGUGGCGUGCGGGACCGCCUCCGGCGGGGCGGCCAGCGACGUCCGAGUCCUCCUGAUCGGGGCCUGUCCCUGAGCGGGUGUAAGGCCUCUACGGCGUCCGGCCCCCCGCCUCGCGGGCGCGUCUCCGGAGUCGGGUUGCUUGGGAAUGCAGCCCAAAGAGGGUGGUAAACUCCAUCUAAGGCUAAAUAUCAGCACGAGUCCGAUAGCGAACAAGUACCGUGAGGGAAAGUU
Molecule: ribosomal RNA, 339 nt
Filed under: Amblyosyllis sp. 7 DLB-2019
Lineage: Eukaryota; Metazoa; Annelida; Polychaeta; Phyllodocida; Syllidae
Also listed under: 1 other name
Description: partial 28S ribosomal RNA
Rfam family: Eukaryotic large subunit ribosomal RNA
Source: RNAcentral